GCGUCUGUGGUGGAAUGGUAGACACGCUGGUCUUAGGAACCAGUUCUUCGGAGUGCAGGUUCGAGUCCUGUCAGACGUAC
Molecule: transfer RNA, 80 nt
Filed under: Streptomyces phage Bmoc
Lineage: Duplodnaviria; Heunggongvirae; Uroviricota; Caudoviricetes; Stanwilliamsviridae
Description: tRNA-Leu
Rfam family: tRNA
About the family: Transfer RNA (tRNA) molecules are approximately 80 nucleotides in length. Their secondary structure includes four short double-helical elements and three loops (D, anti-codon, and T loops).
Source: RNAcentral